This 1057-nucleotide long non-coding RNA is filed under the name Apteryx owenii (little spotted kiwi). RNAcentral's name for it is "lncRNA (ENSAOWG00000004368.1)". The record is from RNAcentral. Lineage: Eukaryota; Metazoa; Chordata; Aves; Apterygiformes; Apterygidae.
CCCCGGCCUCCCUUGCGUCUCCCUUGCGCCAGAUGCGCGUGCGUCCCCCGUAGCCGCUGUGCCGAAGCCGGUUCCUUUCGUGCAAUAUCCUGCUUAACGCGACAAUCCCGUCUUCACGCAGCGAGUUGGACCGAGCCCUUCCACGAGCCGCAGUGGUGGUGGAGGGGGGGGGAGCACGGCUGCGACACCGCUCGUUUGCAAGGUAAAACCACCGGCUUCGACGCUCGUCUUGCGCUAACGUCUCUUCCCACCUCCCAGGGGCUGUUCCUGCAGCAGCCGCGAUCCUCCGGGGACACCCCUGACGCCGGCUGCGCUGGCUCCGCGGGCGGACGUCGCUCCGGCGGCUGCGUCGAAUCCCACAGCCGCCCGCCCCGGUGCCGAGGGCGUCCUCGGUGUGGAGAGCGGGGCAUCGCCGCCGGAAACCCCAUCGGCGCACCCGGAGGCGACGCUUCGCCUUUUAAUUCGUGCGGUUUUAGCUUUUUGAACGGAGGCCGGCAAGCGCUCGGUUCCCCCCGCCACCCGUUAGACUCGGGCAGGAAUUCUGGCCCUCGGCGGAGCGACUUCGAGGACGGACGCGGCGCCUUCCCACCGCCGGCAUCCGCACGCACGCGGAGGGGUUUGCCGCGUCCGGAGGCGACGGGAGCCCGCGCGCCGGAGGGAAGGGGACGCUUGAAUCUCCCGCCGCUGUCACCAGAGGGCACGCGUCCUCCGCCGCGGACGAGCCCGGAGGCAUCCCUCGCCCCCCGGGGACUCCCAACGCUUCGGAGGCCGGAUAAGGAGGGGGAAGCACCGGGGGCUCGCCGCCACGGAGCCGCUCGGGAGAACGCGGCGCCGGCACGUUUAGCCGCCCAAAAAGCGCAGGAGAACGACAGCGAGCUUGUUCCGCCGGGCGAGACGUACGAAAACGCCGCCGUAGCGCUGCCGGGGGAGAGCAGGAACGCGAAAGCCGCAAAGCGUCGAGGCUUCACAAGAGCUUCGCCGCAGGCACGGCGAACCCCCAGCGUGCCGAGCGGGAGACGGGGGAUUUGCUCCGUUACCGGUUAUUUACCAAUAAAAA